AUAUGCCAUGCUUUUUGCUAUGAAACCGCAGCCAUCUAGUCACUCGCCAGAGAAGGAUGAGAAACUGCACCCCAGCGAGAGGGACUGCCCCACAUCUGCAACCAAACCCGUCGGUCACCGAAUCCAGUAAUCUCCGUCUCUUUGUCCAUUCUGUAUGUAUGGUACUCCCAAUUCUUAUAUUUAAUCCGGUGUGUCUCCCACAAUCUUUGUGUCUGUCUGCUGUAUGUAUGUGGCACGCAAGUCUGCAUGCACUGUGUCUGUUAUGCCAGUUACUCUAACCAGUUUUUAUAUUUGUUUUUGUGUGUGUCACAACUCUGACAAGCAUGUUCUCCUAUGGGACACAAAGUACAUGAAGUGGAAUGAAGAAGCCCAUGUUUGAUGCUCGUCUCCAGGGUGGAGUAUUGAAUUUAUAAAUAAUGAAGUGGCAUCUGGCACGUGACAAGCUGCUCCUGUUUGCACAGCGACUUCAACAUUGUGUACUGUGAUCACGGCCUAGUUCAGAGAUCUGGUGUCCCAGUACGGGAUAGAGACCAUCGUACUAUUUAACAAGAGGAUAGUUGUGCAUCAUCUAUGACUGGCGGCUCAGCAGGAAUUCAACAGCUCCCAAGGGAAGGAGCAAACCACCUUGAGGAGUCCCUGCAUAAGAGACUAUUGGAUACAGAAGGCUGUACUAAAGGGAGAUCUCAUCACAGCAUCAUCCAGGUCGUAAUCAGGAGUAUAUGAGGCCUCUUAAGAGUAAAGAGCGGCUAACAAUAUCUGAUAAUAGGCCACAUGUGCAAUUAUUAUGUAUGUAA
Long non-coding RNA from Pelobates fuscus (common spadefoot toad), 794 nucleotides. RefSeq lists it as uncharacterized. Lineage: Eukaryota; Metazoa; Chordata; Amphibia; Anura; Pelobatidae. The record is from RefSeq and is a predicted model, not a curated record. The transcript is spliced from 3 exons.